AACGCGUGGGCAACCUGCCCUCUAGAUGGGGACAACAUCCCGAAAGGGGUGCUAAUACCGAAUGUGACAGCAAUCUCGCAUGAGGAUGCUGUGAAAGAUGGCCUCUAUUUAUAAGCUAUCGCUAGAGGAUGAGCCUGCGUCUGAUUAGCUAGUUGGUGGGGUAACGGCCUACCAAGGCGAUGAUCAGUAGCCGGUCUGAGAGGAUGAACGGCCACAUUGGGACUGAGACACGGCCCAGACUCCUACGGGAGGCAGCAGUGGGGAAUCUUCCGCAAUGGGCGAAAGCCUGACGGAGCAAUGCCGCGUGAGUGAUGAAGGAAUUCGUUCCGUAAAGCUCUUUUGUUUAUGACGAAUGUGCAGGUUGUGAAUAAUGACUUGUAAUGACGG
Molecule: ribosomal RNA, 387 nt
Filed under: uncultured bacterium
Lineage: Bacteria
Description: bacterial SSU rRNA
Rfam family: Bacterial small subunit ribosomal RNA
Source: RNAcentral